CGCGCUCUCUGCCUCUCUCUCUCUCUCUCUCCUCUUUGAUAGCAAUCCAACCCGGGCUGGCUGGUUCUCAGAUUCUCUCUGGUUUUGCCUUGUGUGCUUUGGAUUGUACGAGACUUUGCAGAAGUUGCAAUCGAUUCGCAGUCCCUCUCUCCUCUCCCUACCCCCUUGUUUAUUUCCGCAAUCGCUGCAAUUUGCAUAGUAACCACGCACGAGGCGCCGGCGGCUGCCUGCGGAGGGGGCCAGGAGGGGGCAGGGAAAAGGCCUUGCCCCCUUCUCCCCUCCUCCCGUCUCUCUCCCCGCCAGUCUCCACCUCCCCCAUGGUGCGUGGCCAAUAGGAGCCCCGGCAUUCAGCGCAAGCUCCGGUCGGGACACCGUUCGGAAGAAAAGCCCCUGUGUUACUAGGCCCUGCUCGCAGGAUCCUGUUUUUGGCGCGACUAGCCCUUGGUGCAGUGGUGGUGCGGGGAAGACGACGCUAAAGGAAGGGAGUGUCCCUUUAAAUGGAAAGCAUCACAACCAGGGCUAUUGCGUUUGUUUGCUCUGCGUCAGUUAAGUAGCUUUGGACAUUUUGCUGAAUAACUGAGUUACAGGAAAAUGUGUGCUUAGCUCACUUGAUAAAAAUUAUCCAAUAAGAAGUCAAGAGGAAUAGGAAGCAACCUGGCAGUUGUCUGAUUUUCUUAACUGUCCUUGGUGAAGGUACCUAUUAAUUAAUAACAGGACCUCGCACGGUUAAAUUAGAGGUUAGAGAAACCUCCUAUUUUGUUUUGAACCACAUUUUUGGCUUUAGGCUUGCACUUUACAACAAGCUAACUGAUGCAGCAUUACUGAAAGGUAUGGUACUGUGGCCACGGGUGGUGGUAGACAAACUUUGCUGUUCUGCUCUGCCUCUUAACAGAUUUAGAGACUCUUGCUCAGAAAGUCUGUGGCAUUUAAUCCUGGCCCCUCCACUGAGCAUCCAUUUCAACUUGGCAUACUACUUUCACUCUAGAAAUACACUUAAUGGGUUGUAGUGGCUUAAGUAAAAAGAAAAAAAAAUUUUUUUUAAGUAACCCAAAAAACUUCUAGGCAUUGUUCAGCUGGUGCUAGGCUGUGUGACCUUGAGAUGGUUACAUAACACCUGUAAAAUAGGACAUCAACCUAUUGUGAGAGUGGAGGAUUGUUUUGUCAAGAGCUAAGAGCCUUUCAAAUGCACAAGAGGUAUCAAUUUAUAUUGCAUUGCUCCGGUAGAUGCCAUGGUCUGAAUACUCUCUAAUGAUAAGCAAGUCACGCCCUGUUAGUAGGUGGUAACAGUGACUUUUGGGUUUGCAUCUGUAGUUCAUUAACUCAAUUUAAUGUGGUAGGCUAUCACCAUUUCCAAAGUGACCUUUUAUAUCUCCAUCUAGUCAACAACAGCAUAGUAUAGGCUUUGGAGUCCAACUUAGGUAUUAAUGUUGGUCCUACUAUGUGACUCCAGACAAAUUAUUUAACCUCUGUAAGAUUUAGAUUUCUAGUAUGGAAAAUGGGAGCUCUUCAGAUAACAUAUGUAAUUUACCUAGUACAUUAGGUGUGCUCAAUAUAUUGUAGCUAUAGUAAUACCACUAUUACUGUUUAAUAUGUACCAUAUUCUAGGCACAUUGAAUGUGCUAAGAGCUGGAGACACAGAGAAGACAUUGUCCCUGCCCUCAAGAAGCUUUCAGUCCCAUGGAAGAGACAAUACCCCAAAAUAAAUAAUAAUGUAAUGUGAUCCAUCCUUCUUAUCUUGGACACACACCACAAUCAACUACAGGGGUGCCUGAAGACCACAGAUGAUGUCACGCAACUGAGCUGCUAGGAGAGUCGGAGAGAGGAAGACUGUAUCUUGACUGCAGCCAUGGGUGCGAAGGAUGAGUGUACAGUUCACAGAAGGAAGCUAAAAGGGAGCUCAGAGGUCUCCAAACACCACAUUUUACAGAUGACAAAACUGAAGCUAGCAGCAGAGUGAAGUAACGAGCUCGUGGGCACACAGCUGGUGAAGAAUUAAUCCCUAGUCCAGUGCCAGUUUCAUUCCAUCACGCAGGGGAUAUUUUGCAGGAAUGGGAAACAAGGGAAUAACUACCUCUGGUAUCAAAGUUGAAAAGAGGCCUGGGCAAGUGAAGAAACAGUGAAUCUGAUAGGAGAGAGAAAACGGUUAAUCAUCUAAACCAAAGGGAUGGCUAUAAAAUUCAGGCUGGUACCAGAAAGAUUUACCCAAACAUGUUCAGACAGUUAAAGGAUAAUUUUCAGGAAAAAUAAGGUAGGGUGGGGAUGAAAGCACUGGUCUAGAACUGUAACUUGGUGUUAAGAACUGUGAGCUGAACUGGUUCUCUAUUCUCUGCUGCUUGUGGCCUUGGGCAGUUCAAUCUCUCCCUGGGUGGUUUCCUUCUCAGUAAAAUGUAAAUAUCAUCAGCCCCACUUCCUGGGGUUUUGAUAGGAUUCAAUGAAAUCAUGAACGUGAAACUGUUACAAAUUUAGGUUUCUCUUCCAUGAAGGCCUAUACCACCAACUGGUUUCUAAUACAGCACAGAAUAAAGAAUAUAGAUAGUUGUAUUUAUCCAAAAGGUUUUAUUUAUUUUUUUAAAAAAAGAUUUUAUUUAUUUAUUUAUUUAUUUGGGAGA
Molecule: long non-coding RNA, 2609 nt
Organism: Ailuropoda melanoleuca (giant panda)
Lineage: Eukaryota; Metazoa; Chordata; Mammalia; Carnivora; Ursidae
Exons: 3
Source: RefSeq, a predicted model, not a curated record